AAAACCCGUGGUCAGGAACCUUGUUCUCAUAUUGAAACCAGAGGGUAUUAUUUUUAAAACCUUGGGCUAAAGAUAUCCCCUUACUAUUUUAUGACAUGAACCCCAGGAGAAGGUUUCUCUUCCUGUACAAGCACAAAGGUGGACAAAAUGUAUUUUGUGUUUUAAAAAGCUGUUAAGCUUUUGUCCUCAUGACUAAACUCUUGCCCAAAGAGUGACAAAUUUUAAAACAAGUAAGCACAGAGCAAAAAAUCCCCUUAGUGUUCCACAGUUUGGGGUCUAGAAGCAAAAAUACAAGGUCAGAGUUGAAGACUCGUUUUCCAGGUCCAGUCUGCCACUUGACAGAUUUUAAAGCUGUCUUUCAGUGACUUCUCCUUCCCUCCCAGCACUACAUGUUGCUUCACAGCCCUGGCACCGAUUCCUGCUCUUGACAUUGCUCAAUGGAAGCCAGAAGUCCAUUCUGCAGCCAGAAAUUCUGAGGCUCAUGACUUUGUUUCUGAAAUAUCAGAGCAGCAAUAUCAUUUCUCAAAAAGAAAUUGGCCAGAUUCUCCAGGAAGUGGCAGAAGCCAACUUACUAGAGCUGCCAGAGGCCACAUCUCAGGCUCUUCACCUUUUCCUCUGCCAGAUUCAGAGCAGCCAUUGUCAGGUGGAGCCAGUGCAGGCACAGACCAUUCAGACUUUGCUGGAGCACCUUCCAGAACAGACGAGCACCUGUGCAAAACAUCAGGACAUUGUGUAUCCUUUUCCUGAGCAAAUGCCUUUGAUAAGAAAAGUGAGGGCGGGAACUGUAACAGAAGUAGAAGGGAUACUUAAUCUGCUGCUCCUGACCAUUUUCAGCCAAAGGCAAACAGCACAAAAAGUUGGCUAACUUUGAGAUGAAAUAC
This 881-nucleotide long non-coding RNA is filed under the name Chrysolophus pictus (golden pheasant). Its description in RNAcentral is "lncRNA (ENSCPIG00010000191.1)". The record is from RNAcentral. Lineage: Eukaryota; Metazoa; Chordata; Aves; Galliformes; Phasianidae.